UGGAGACAUAGUAUUGCAGGAGCGCACACAAUGGUACAUAAGGCUGAAGAGAAAAAAAACACAUACAUGCAGAUUAACCUAUUAUCCUGCAGUGUUCAUGCAAAGGAAGGCAAAAAACCCUUAUGAGGACAGUAUUUCAAGGCUAGUUGGUUAUGGAACCAGUCAAUACUCCGCUAACAGAUAGAGAACAUGCAAGAUAACUGAGCUCCUUCUAUUAAAUUCAGUCUGCUGUGCUGCAUUCUGUGUUGUUUGCUACUACACCAGACCACUGUACAUCACCAGAUCAGGUCACUUAGAGAUCAGAUUACAAUCUGCUCUUAAAAGUCUAUGGCGUGGGAAGGAAGUGUUUUCUGCAGAGUGAGGGGUAAGGUGGUCACUAUGACUGGUGUUUAAUACACUAGUCUAACGUAAACACUUUUUUUUUACAUCACAGUAAAUAUGAGCACAUCUUUGGAUGCCCAGUGUGCAUCUCUAAAAUCUACACCAGAA
This is a long non-coding RNA of Hyla sarda, 489 nucleotides long. RefSeq lists it as uncharacterized. The record is from RefSeq and is a predicted model, not a curated record. The transcript is spliced from 3 exons. Lineage: Eukaryota; Metazoa; Chordata; Amphibia; Anura; Hylidae.